CUAUUCCUAGGGGCGCAGCAGUGAGGAAUAUUGGUCAAUGGACGAGAGUCUGAACCAGCCAAGUAGCGUGAAGGAUGACUGCCCUAUGGGUUGUAAACUUCUUUUAUAAAGGAAUAAAACGAGGCACGUGUGCCUUUUUGCAUGUACUUUAUGAAUAAGGAUCGGCUAACUCCGUGCCAGCAGCCGCGGUAAUACGGAGGAUCCGAGCGUUAUCCGGCUUUAUUGGGUUUAAAGGGAGCGUAGAUGGGUUGUUAAGUCAGUUGUGAAAGUUUGCGGCUCAACCGUAAAAUUGCAAUUGAUACUGG
RNAcentral lists this ribosomal RNA (305 nucleotides) under uncultured bacterium. RNAcentral describes it as "bacterial SSU rRNA". It matches the Rfam family "Bacterial small subunit ribosomal RNA", at positions 333 to 636 of the family's 1533-position model. The record is from RNAcentral.